Molecule: ribosomal RNA, 497 nt
Filed under: uncultured bacterium
Lineage: Bacteria
Description: partial 16S ribosomal RNA
Rfam family: Bacterial small subunit ribosomal RNA
Source: RNAcentral
GAUGAACGCUGGCGGCGUGCCUAGUACAUGCAAGUCGAGCGAACGGACGAGAAGCUUGCUUCUCUGAUGUUAGCGGCGGACGGGUGAGUAACACGUGGAUAACCUACCUAUAAGACUGGGAUAACUUCGGGAAACCGGAGCUAAUACCGGAUAAUAUUUUGAACCGCAUGGUUCAAAAGUUAAAGACGGUCUUGCUGUCACUUAUAGAUGGAUCCGCGCUGCAUUAGCUAGUUGGUAAGGUAACGGCUUACCAAGGCAACGAUGCAUAGCCGACCUGAGAGGGUGAUCGGCCAAACUGGAACUGAGACACGGUCCAGACUCCUACGGGAGGCAGCAGUAGGGAAUCUUCCGCAAUGGGCGAAAGCAUGACGGAGCAACGCCGCGUGAGUGAUGAAGGUCUUCGGAUCGUAAAACUCUGUUAUUAGGGAAGAACAUAUGUGUAAGUAACUGUGCACAUCUUGACGGUACCUAAUCAGAAAGCCACGGCUAACUACGUG